UUGCACUCCGCGCCCGGCAGGGCGAGUUUGCAGGCUUGCGGUAAGGAGCCUGCAGGAUGCACCUCGCUGUUAAAUAAGAACUGCCCUCGACAUAAGCAAUAUUGAAAUAAUUGCAGCUCAUCCAUGGCCAGAUGUUGACUAACAAGACCCUCCUGUUCCACAAGUCAUAACUGCAGUCCAAGUAAACCACAUCGAAAGGAGACUGAAACUACUUGGAUGAAUACAAUGGAAUCCUGUGGAAUGGCACCCCAAACCAAGAUGGUGGCAGAGAGCUGACAAUUGGAUUAUUUGCAUAUCCUUUGUGUGGUCAUCCUAGCAUCUCAGGAUCAGGAAAGAUGAAGAGGAGGGAGGGGAAAGGAAAAAUUUCCACUUAAAGUAGAGCUUGCCUAGGAGACAUCAACUGACUCUUGUAUUUUAACAGCACAGGCUGAAGCUGAUAAGGGUCUUUAAGCCUCAGUAACCUUAGACAGGCACCUUCCUCACUGGACCUAACUGAAGAGACUUUCCUGACUAGUGAACAAUGGGAUAUUUAUUUUAUUUAACCAAUGGUGUAGAGACCUAUAUAUUCAUUCUGCCCCAUAUCCAGAGUGCCAGUUUCCAAUGCUUAAUUAGCAUAAGCCCCAUAAGCUCCCCACUUCUAACAUUUAAAAACCCCUGACUUUCCCUCCUCAGUGAAAUUCUUCAUGGAGUAAGUUCUCUUGCUUGGCAAGUUAAUAGACUCAGCUUUGUAAUUUUUUUUUUCUAGCUCUAACGGUAUUUGUUUUACUCAUGGACAGGUGAGAAGGACAAGGGUAGAGGAGUCUUCAAACACCCCACAGCCAGCCAUCUUGGGUGAAUUACUGCAGUUUUCGAAAGGUGCCAGCAGGUUUCCUCCCGCAUAACAUUUGCAUUAUGUUGUACAUGCCACCGUCUUCAGAUGGCUAAUCCCUAUGAAAUUCAGUUAACAUGACAUUUUCUAGGAAACCUUUACAUCCUUUGCUGUGUUGGGUGCAACCUUGUCUGUCAUUCCGUUUUUGUACUCAUCACAUACUUAAUGGUAUCAACUGGUUCAGCAAUUGGACCCCUUCCUACUGUACUGAGAUUCUUGAGAGUCACUUUGAUAUGCACCCCAGACCCUCAGCAUACUGUCUAGAGCAGUAGUUUUCAAAACCUAAUGUGUAUCAGAAUCGUCUGGAGAAAUAGUUAAAACAGAAUCUCAAGCCCUACCUGCAGAGUCUCUGCUUCAGUAAGUCUGGGUGAGGCCCAAGGAUAUGUGCUUUUAACCAGUUCCCAAACAAUGUUGAUGCUAUUGGUCUGGAGAACAUACUUUGGGACUUCCUGGUCCAUAUCAUACUAGUCACUCAAAAAAUGUUCAUUAAAAGAUUUCAAGGAUUAUAAAUUACUUUUUAUUUUGAUUUGAAGCCAAAUUAAAGCAUUUUGUAAGUUAUCCAAAGUAAGGUAAAUACUCCAGGUCCUUGCUACUCAAAAUGGGGUCCUUGGGCUACUUGCACUGGCAUUACUAGGGACUCUGUUAGGAAUGGAGACUCUCUUGCCGCCUGGUGGACCUACUGACUCAGAAUCUCCAUUCUGAGAUUCUGAUCUCUCAAGAUCCUCAGCCUCACAUCAAAAUUUGAGAAGCACUGCUCAUGUGUGUGAGUGUGUGUGUGUGUGUGUGUAUGUUUAUGUGUGUUGUCAUUAUUAUUGCUUUGGAGUAGUUUUAACAGCAUCCAUAAAACUGGUUUUCACUAAUUAUUCCAUUCGUGGAUUUUCCAAGUCCUUUGUUCCCAAAUAAUAGUGGGUUUACUUUUCUUCUUGGUAAGUGCACAAAGAUUAAGCUUCAUAAAAGCUUUAACUUUAUAUUUGGUAUGUUGACUUAAUUUUAAUCAUUAUUUAGUGAUUCUUCUGUUAUGACACAAAAACACAGAAGGGUGAAAGGGUGAAAUGACUACUGAAGGAGUAAAUUAUUUCAGCAAAAAGAUAAAUAGCAGAGAAACAUGGGAAAUGAGUUAUACCUACAGAAUAGAAAUGCUUGAAUGUGGUAACAAUUCUACAGAAUUUAAUAUCUCUGUUAAGUUACAAAUUGCAAUUUCUUAGUAGCACCUGUAGACUUAAAGAUUAACUAGUAGUUUUA
This 2110-nucleotide long non-coding RNA is filed under the name Homo sapiens (human). RNAcentral's name for it is "HSALNT0125392". Lineage: Eukaryota; Metazoa; Chordata; Mammalia; Primates; Hominidae. The record is from RNAcentral.